RNAcentral lists this ribosomal RNA (465 nucleotides) under uncultured bacterium. RNAcentral describes it as "partial 16S ribosomal RNA". It matches the Rfam family "Bacterial small subunit ribosomal RNA", at positions 338 to 795 of the family's 1533-position model. The record is from RNAcentral.
CCUACGGGAGGCAGCAGUAGGGAAUUUUCCACAAUGGGCGAAAGCCUGAUGGAGCAACGCCGCGUGGGUGAAGAAGGUCUUCGGAUCGUAAAACCCUGUUGUUAGAGAAGAACGUGCGUGAGAGUAACUGUUCACGUUUCGACGGUAUCUAACCAGAAAGCCACGGCUAACUACGUGCCAGCAGCCGCGGUAAUACGUAGGUGGCAAGCGUUAUCCGGAUUUAUUGGGCGUAAAGGGAACGCAGGCGGUCUUUUAAGUCUGAUGGGAAAGCCUUCGGCUUAACCGGAGUAGUGCAUUGGAAACUGGGAGACUUGAGUGCAGAAGAGGAGAGUGGAACUCCAUGUGUAGCGGUGAAAUGCGUAGAUAUAUGGAAGAACACCAGUGGCGAAAGCGGCUCUCUGGUCUGUAACUGACGCUGAGGUUCGAAAGCGUGGGUAGCAAACAGGAUUAGAUACCCUAGUAGUC